This 499-nucleotide ribosomal RNA is filed under the name uncultured bacterium. RNAcentral's name for it is "partial 16S ribosomal RNA". It matches the Rfam family "Bacterial small subunit ribosomal RNA", at positions 28 to 507 of the family's 1533-position model. The record is from RNAcentral.
GACGAACGCUGGCGGCGUGCUUAACACAUGCAAGUCGAACGGGCCCGCCCCUGUUUUUGGGGGUGGGUUGAGUGGCGAACGGGUGAGUAUCACGUGAGUAACCUGCCCCCUGCUCCUGGAUAACUGCUUGAAAGGGCGGCUAAUACGGGGUGUGCCGGCUGGUCCGCAUGGGCCUGGUCGGGAUAGUUUCAUCUUCGGGUGUUUCGGUGGGGGAUGGGCUCGCGGCCUAUCAGCUUGUUGGUGGGGUGAUGGCCCACCAAGGCGGUGACGGGUAGCCGGCCUGAGAGGGUGGGCGGCCACACUGGGACUGGGACACGGCCCAGACUCCUGCGGGAGGCAGCAGUGGGGGGUAUUGCACAAUGGGCGGAAGCCUGAUGCAGCGACGUCGCGUGAGGGAUGGAGGCCUUCGGGUUGUGAACCUCUUUCUCCGGUGGUGAAGGCCCUGUCCGUUGCGGCGGGGUUGACGGUAGCCGGGUAUGAAGCGCCGGCUAACUACGUG